This 253-nucleotide ribosomal RNA is filed under the name uncultured bacterium. RNAcentral describes it as "partial 16S ribosomal RNA". It matches the Rfam family "Bacterial small subunit ribosomal RNA", at positions 524 to 776 of the family's 1533-position model. The record is from RNAcentral.
UACGUAGGUGGCAAGCGUUGUCCGGAAUUAUUGGGUUUAAAGGGUGCGUAGGCGGACCUGUAAGUCAGUGGUGAAAGCCUGUUGCUUAACAACAGAACUGCCAUUGAUACUGCAAGUCUUGAGUACAGUUGAGGUAGGCGGAAUGUGUCAUGUAGCGGUGAAAUGCUUAGAUAUGACACAGAACACCGAUUGCGAAGGCAGCUUGCUAAGCUGUAACUGACGCUGAUGCACGAAAGCGUGGGGAGCAAACAGG